AGUGAACGCUGGCGGUAGGCCUAACACAUGCAAGUCGAACGGCAGCACAGUAAGAGCUUGCUCUUACGGGUGGCGAGUGGCGGACGGGUGAGGAAUACAUCGGAAUCUACUUUUUCGUGGGGGAUAACGUAGGGAAACUUACGCUAAUACCGCAUACGACCUACGGGUGAGAGCAGGGGAUCUUCGGACCUUGCGCGAUUGAAUGAGCCGAUGUCGGAUUAGCUAGUUGGCGGGGUAAAGGCCCACCAAGGCGACGAUCCGUAGCUGGUCUGAGCGGAUGGUCAGCCACACUGGAACUGAGACACGGUCCAGACUCCUACGGGAGGCAGCGGUGGGAAAUAUUGGACAAUGGGCGCAAGCCUGAUCCAGCCAUACCGCGUGGGUGAAGAAGGCCUUCGGGUGGUAAAGCCCUUUUGUUGGGAAAGAAAAGCAGCAGGUUAAGACCCCGCUGUUCUGACGGUACCCAAAGAAUAAGCACCGGCUAACUUCGU
This 491-nucleotide ribosomal RNA is filed under the name uncultured bacterium. RNAcentral's name for it is "partial 16S ribosomal RNA". It matches the Rfam family "Bacterial small subunit ribosomal RNA", at positions 29 to 506 of the family's 1533-position model. The record is from RNAcentral.